UAAGGCUGAGACACGACGUCGAGCACCUACGGGUGUGAAGUCAUUGAUGCCAUGCUUCCAGGAAAAGCCUCUAAGCUUCAGAUUGUAAGGAAUCGUACCCCAAACCGACACAGGUGGUCGGGUAGAGAAUACCAAGGCGCUUGAGAGAACUCGGGUGAAGGAACUAGGCAAAAUGGUACCGUAACUUCGGGAGAAGGUACGCUCUCGACGGUGAAGUCCCUCGCGGAUGGAGCUAUUGAGAGUCGCAGAUACCAGGUGGCUGCAACUGUUUAUUAAAAACACAGCACUGUGCAAAAUCGUAAGAUGACGUAUACGGUGUGACGCCUGCCCGGUGCCGGAAGGUUAAUUGAUGGGGUUAGACUUCGGUCGAAGCUCUUGAUCGAAGCCCCGGUAAACGGCGGCCGUAACUAUAACGGUCCUAAGGUAGCGAAAUUCCUUGUCGGGUAAGUUCCGACCUGCACGAAUGGCGUAAUGAUGGCCACGCUGUCUCCACCCGAGACUCAGUGAAAUUGAAAUCGCUGUGAAGAUGCAGUGUACCCGCGGCUAGACGGAAAGACCCCGUGAACCUUUACUACAGCUUGGCACUGAACAUUGACCCUACAUGUGUAGGAUAGGUGGGAGGCUUUGAAGCACGUACGCCAGUAUGUGUGGAGCCGUCCUUGAAAUACCACCCUUGUAGUGUUGAUGUUCUAACGUCGACCCCUAAUCGGGGUUGCGGACAGUGCCUGGUGGGUAGUUUGACUGGGGCGGUCUCCUCCCAAAGAGUAACGGAGGAGCACGAAGGUGGGCUAAUCACGGUUGGACAUCGUGAGGUUAGUGCAAUGGCAUAAGCCCGCUUGACUGCGAGAAUGACAAUUCGAGCAGGUGCGAAAGCAGGUCAUAGUGAUCCGGUGGUUCUGAAUGGAAGGGCCAUCGCUCAACGGAUAAAAGGUACUCCGGGGAUAACAGGCUGAUACCGCCCAAGAGUUCAUAUCGACGGCGGUGUUUGGCACCUCGAUGUCGGCUCAUCACAUCCUGGGGCUGAAGUCGGUCCCAAGGGUAUGGCUGUUCGCCAUUUAAAGUGGUACGCGAGCUGGGUUUAGAACGUCGUGAGACAGUUCGGUCCCUAUCUGCCGUGGGCGUUGGAAGAUUGAAGGGGGCUGCUCCUAGUACGAGAGGACCGGAGUGGACGAACCUCUGGUGUUCGGGUUGUGUCGCCAGACGCAUUGCCCGGUAGCUAAGUUCGGAAUCGAUAACCGCUGAAAGCAUCUAAGCGGGAAGCGAGCCCUGAGAUGAGUCUUCCCUGAUACUUUAAGUAUCCUAAAGGGUUGUCGGAGACUACGACGUUGAUAGGUCAGGUGUGUAAGUGCUGUGAGGCAUUGAGCUAACUGAUACUAAUUGCCCGUGAGGCUUAACCAUACAACACCCAAGGGGUUU
Molecule: ribosomal RNA, 1416 nt
Filed under: Vibrio parahaemolyticus
Lineage: Bacteria; Pseudomonadati; Pseudomonadota; Gammaproteobacteria; Vibrionales; Vibrionaceae
Description: bacterial LSU rRNA
Rfam family: Bacterial large subunit ribosomal RNA
Source: RNAcentral